This 301-nucleotide ribosomal RNA is filed under the name uncultured bacterium. RNAcentral's name for it is "partial 16S ribosomal RNA". It matches the Rfam family "Bacterial small subunit ribosomal RNA", at positions 509 to 807 of the family's 1533-position model. The record is from RNAcentral.
CAGUCGCCACGGUAAUACGUAGGGUGCGGGCGUUAAUCGGAAUUACUGGGCGUAAAGCGUGCGCAGGCGGUUAUAUAAGACAGAUGUGAAAUCCCCGGGCUCAACCUGGGACCUGCAUUUGUGACUGUAUAGCUAGAGUACGGUAGAGUGGGAUGGAAUUCCGCGUGUAGCAGUGAAAUGCGUAGAUAUGCGGAGGAACACCGAUGGCGAAGGCAAUCCCCUGGACCUGUACUGACGCUCAUGCACGAAAGCGUGGGGAGCAAACAGGAUUAGAUACCCCCGUAGUCCCUGUCUCUUAUAC